AUAGAACGCUGGCGUCAGGCCUAACACAUGCAAGUUGAGCGGAGUGGCGGACGGGUGAGUAAUGCCUAGGAAUCUGCCUGGGAGUGGGGGAUAAUGUCCGGAAACGGGCGCUUAUAGCGCAUAAUAUCAGAUGAGCCUAGGUCGGAUGAGGUAGUUGGUGGGGUAAAGGCCUACCAAGGCGACGAUCCGUAACUGGUCUGAGAGGAUGAUCAGUCAAACUGGAACUGAGUCACGGUGAAGACUCCUACGAUGGGGACCAGGGGGGAAUAUUGGACAAUGGGCGAAAGCCUGAUGCAUCCAUGCCGCGUGUGUGAAGAAGGUCUUCAGAUUGUAAAGCACAUUAGGUUGGGCGGCGUUCCAUAUAGAAUAAGCCCCGGCUAACUUCGUGCCAGCAGCCGCGGUAAUUC
This 407-nucleotide ribosomal RNA is filed under the name uncultured bacterium. RNAcentral describes it as "partial 16S ribosomal RNA". It matches the Rfam family "Bacterial small subunit ribosomal RNA", at positions 31 to 526 of the family's 1533-position model. The record is from RNAcentral.